This is a non-coding RNA of Arachis ipaensis, 247 nucleotides long. NCBI's taxonomy places the organism in Eukaryota, Viridiplantae, Streptophyta, Magnoliopsida, Fabales, Fabaceae. The record is from RefSeq and is a predicted model, not a curated record.
GUUAGCAUCAUUAAGAACUAGGGGUGGGCAUGGUUUGGAUUUUUAAAAAUCCAAACUGGAUCCACUCCAGAACCAGUUUUAUGGUUUAGGAAACCAAACCAGAACUGGAUUGAAGAGCAAAACCGGUUCUAAACCGGUUUAAAAAAAUAAAAACCGGUUCUAAACCGGUUUUAAAAUUUAAAUCCGGUUUUAUUUACAAACCGGUUUUAAAUCCGAUUUUACUUGCAAAACCGGUUUUAAAUCCGGU